UCAUAUGCUUGUCUCAAAGAUUAAGCCAUGCAUGUCUAAGUAUAAGCAAUUAUACAGCGAAACUGCGAAUGGCUCAUUAUAUAAGUUAUCGUUAAUUUGAUAGUGCCUUACUACUUGGAUAACCGUGGUAAUUCUAGAGCUAAUACACGCUGAAAAUCCCGACUCCGGAAGGGAUGUGUUUAUUAGAUUAAAAACCAAUGCCCCCUGGGCUCCUUGGUGAUUCAUGAUAACUGUUCGAAUCGCAUGGCCUUGCGCCGGCGAUGGUUCAUUCAAAUUUCUUCCCUAUCAGCUUUCGAUGUUUGGGUAUUGGCCAAACAUGGCGGCAACGGGUAACGGAGGGUUAGGGCUCGACCCCGGAGAAGGAGCCUGAGAAACGGCUACUACAUCCAAGGAAGGCAGCAGGCGCGCAAAUUACCCAAUCCCGAUCCGGGGAGGUAGUGACAAUAAAUACUGAUACAGGGCUCUUUUGGGUCUUGUAAUUGGAAUGAGUACAAUUUAAAUCCCUUAACGAGGAACAAUUGGAGGGCAAGUCUGGUGCCAGCAGCCGCGGUAAUUCCAGCUCCAAUAGCGUAUAUUAAAGUUGUUGUGGUUAAAAAGCUCGUAGUUGAACCUUGGGCCUGGCUGGCCGGUCCGCCUCACCGCGUGCACUGGUCCGGCCGGGCCUUUCCCUCUGCGGAACCCCAUGCCCUUCACUGGGCGUGGCGGGGAAGCAGGACUUUUACUUUGAAAAAAUUAGAGUGCUUCAGGCAGGCCUAUGCUCGAAUACAUUAGCAUGGAAUAAUGAAAUAGGACGCGCGGUUCUAUUUUGUUGGUUUCUGGGACCGCCGUAAUGGUUAAUAGGGACAGUCGGGGGCAUCAGUAUUCAAUCGUUAGAGGUGAAAUUCUUGGAUCGACUGAAGACUAACUACUGCGAAAGCAUUUGCCAAGGAUGUUUUCAUUAAUCAGGAACGAAAGUUAGGGGAUCGAAGACGAUCAGAUACCGUCGUAGUCUUAACCAUAAACUAUGCCGACUAGGGAUCGGACGACGUUAAUUCUUGACGCGUUCGGCACCUUACGAGAAAUCAAAGUGCUUGGGCUCCAGGGGGAG
This 1087-nucleotide ribosomal RNA is filed under the name Hevansia novoguineensis. RNAcentral's name for it is "SSU rRNA". It matches the Rfam family "Eukaryotic small subunit ribosomal RNA", at positions 24 to 1123 of the family's 1831-position model. Lineage: Eukaryota; Fungi; Ascomycota; Sordariomycetes; Hypocreales; Cordycipitaceae. The record is from RNAcentral.